CUACGGGGGGCAGCAGUGGGGAAUAUUGCACAAUGGAGGAAACUCUGAUGCAGCAACGCCGCGUGGAGGAUGACACUUUUCGGAGCGUAAACUCCUUUUAUAUAGGAAGAAGAUGACGGUACUAUAUGAAUAAGCGCCGGCUAACUCCGUGCCAGCAGGCCGCGGUAAUACGGAGGGCGCAAGCGUUACUCGGAAUCACUGGGCGUAAAGAGCGUGUAGGCGGAUUAAAAAGUCAGAAGUGAAAUCCUAUAGCUUAACUAUAGAACUGCUUCUGAAACUCUUAAUCUAGAAUAUGUGAGAGGUAGAUGGAAUUUCUGGUGUAGGGGUAAAAUCCGUAGAGAUCAGAAGGAAUACCGAUUGCGAAGGCGAUCUACUAGAACAUUAUUGACGCUGAGACGCGAAAGCGUGGGGAGCAAACAGGAUUAGAUACCCGAGUAGUC
Molecule: ribosomal RNA, 440 nt
Filed under: uncultured bacterium
Lineage: Bacteria
Description: partial 16S ribosomal RNA
Rfam family: Bacterial small subunit ribosomal RNA
Source: RNAcentral